GACGAACGCUGGCGGCGUGCUUAACACAUGCAAGUCGAACGGAAAGGCCCAGCUUGCUGGGUGCUCGAGUGGCGAACGGGUGAGUAACACGUGGGUGAUCUGCCCCUCACUUCGGGAUAAGCUUGGGAAACUGGGUCUAAUACCGGAUAGGACAAUCGUUUAGUGUCGGUUGUGGAAAGUUUUUUCGGUUAGGGAUGAGCCCGCGGCCUAUCAGCUUGUUGGUGGGGUAAUGGCCUACCAAGGCGUCGACGGGUAGCCGGCCUGGGAGGGUGGACGGCCACAUUGGGACUGAGAUACGGCCCAGACUCCUACGGGAGGCAGCAGUGGGGAAUAUUGCACAAUGGGCGCAAGCCUGAUGCAGCGACGCCGCGUGGGGGAUGACGGCCUUCGGGUUGUAAACCUCUUUCGACAGGGACGAAGCUUUGGUGACGGUACCUGUAUAAGAAGCACCGGCUAACUACGUG
RNAcentral lists this ribosomal RNA (464 nucleotides) under uncultured bacterium. RNAcentral describes it as "partial 16S ribosomal RNA". It matches the Rfam family "Bacterial small subunit ribosomal RNA", at positions 28 to 507 of the family's 1533-position model. The record is from RNAcentral.